CACGUAGGGGGCGAGCGUUGUCCGGAUUUAUUGGGCGUAAAGAGCGUGUAGGCGGCCAGGUAGGUCUGGUGUGAAAACUCGAGGCUUAACCUCGAGAUGUCAUCGGAAACCAUCUGGCUAGAGUCCGGAAGAGGAGAGUGGAAUUCCUGGUGUAGCGGUGAAAUGCGCAGAUAUCAGGAAGAACACCAAUGGCGAAAGCAGCUCUCUGGGACGGUACUGACGCUGAGACGCGAAAGCGUGGGGAGCGAACAGG
RNAcentral lists this ribosomal RNA (253 nucleotides) under uncultured bacterium. Its description in RNAcentral is "partial 16S ribosomal RNA". It matches the Rfam family "Bacterial small subunit ribosomal RNA", at positions 524 to 776 of the family's 1533-position model. The record is from RNAcentral.